Molecule: unclassified non-coding RNA, 331 nt
Organism: Meriones unguiculatus (Mongolian gerbil)
Lineage: Eukaryota; Metazoa; Chordata; Mammalia; Rodentia; Muridae
Gene: 7SK
Rfam family: 7SK RNA
About the family: 7SK was discovered as an abundant small nuclear RNA in the mid-70s but a possible function has only recently been suggested.
Source: Ensembl
GGAUCUGAGGGCGAUUUAGCUGUGACAUCUGCCACCCCAUUGAUCGCCAGGGUUGAUUCGGCUGAUGUGGCUGCCUUGGCGCGUGUCCCCUUCCUCCCUCACCGCUCCAUGUGCGUCCCUCCUGAAGCUGAACGCUCGCUCGGGCAAAGAGGAUGACCUUCCCCAAAUAGAGGAGGACCUAUCUUCCAUCAAAGGUAUAUAAAUAGCUGCGCUCCCCUGCUAGAACCUCCAAACAAGCUCAAGCCCCCUUGGACCAAUCAAGGAAAUGAUCACACCCUGUUCACCCAAUCAAGAGGAGUAAUCACAUGUCCUGGGCCCCCUGUUCAUUCUU